ACAACACCGACGACGUUACUCCU
This 23-nucleotide small nuclear RNA is filed under the name Arabidopsis thaliana (thale cress). RNAcentral's name for it is "snRNA_03316". Lineage: Eukaryota; Viridiplantae; Streptophyta; Magnoliopsida; Brassicales; Brassicaceae. The record is from RNAcentral.